This is a long non-coding RNA of Wyeomyia smithii (pitcher-plant mosquito), 990 nucleotides long. RefSeq lists it as uncharacterized. The record is from RefSeq and is a predicted model, not a curated record. The transcript has 3 exons. NCBI's taxonomy places the organism in Eukaryota, Metazoa, Arthropoda, Insecta, Diptera, Culicidae.
CCCAGAACGCUCUUAAUUUGCGGUGAGCUGUCAAAACUUUGCGUGAAUACAACUUCGACAGACACCAAGUGUUGCAAUUUAUAGACUUUCUAUUUUAAAGAUUGAAAUUUUUCACUAAAUAACUGUUAUUUAUCAAGGCAGUUGCUCUUUAAUCGACCGAAGAUAAAGUCCAUUUCUGUCACCGUUGUCUCUAAAGUUCUCAAUCAAUCACUAACACUCAUUCAGUGAUUGAGCCUACCUGAAAUCUGGAAUGAGCAUUUUCGCAUUUCGAAAAAAGAUUUCGAAAUGUCAACCUAAGGGAACCUUCACUGACGACGCUACAUUGGUACGUCUACUGAAACAAGUCGACAUAUAUUCUCUAUUAAAUUUGUCCAAUGAAUUUACCGUACCAGAAGAUCUCUUAAUUUUAUAUGAUUCCAUUAGAAAUCCAUUUGUAAAUUAAAUGUGAUACAAAAAUUUUAACGAAACGCACAAUGAAAUAAUAAUUAUCGGAUUUUCACAUCCAUUUUAUUUGAAAUUCAUUUACGUGUAACAUGUGUGGUAAAAUUUAAAUUUACAGGCAAUAUUGCGGAAUACAUUUCAUAAAGUAAAUAUAUAAAAUCGUCAUGUAUCGAAACCAACAUAUAAAUCUUAUUGAUAAAUCCAAUAAAAAACACACGUCGCCGUGACUUUGGACUUUUUGUCAGUUUAACUUGUGAAGUUUUGUUUUGACUUUUGAAUUUGGCAUCGAAUAAUCCAGAUUGUUAUACAAAAUGGCUACAUCACGAAAAGACGGCGUCUUAUUGAGCGAUUGGAUGGUUAUUUCCUUAUCUCCAAUGAUCACACCGGAGAAACUGGCAUUAUCAAAUCGUGACAUCGGGCAAACAACAAUAGACCAUUGGAACUCGGAUCAAGUGGCCAACGUAGAACCGGUAAUUUCUUUUUUAUUAAUCAUUUGUCAGGAAGUUGGUAGUGAAAUUUCUCGAAAAACCUGCAUUAUUCCGAUUAGAG